UAAUAUCCCAUAGAUCAUGAGAUCUGGAAUGACUUAUGGUUCAAAGUUCCGGCGCUUUAGGAUCGGUCUGCGGCCUAUCAGGUAGUAGUGGGUGUAAUGUACCCCCUAGCCUAUUACGGGUAUGGGCCUUGAGAGAGGGAGCCCAGAGUUGGAUUCUGAGACACGAAUCCAGGCCCUACGGGGCGCAGCAGUCGCGAAAACUUCACAAUGGGCGAAAGCCCGAUGAGGGAAUUCCUAGUGCUAGCACUUUUGUGUUAGCUUUUCUUUAGCGUAGAUAACUAGAGGAAUAAGGGCUGGGUAAGACGGGUGCCAGCCGCCGCGGUAAUACCCGCAGCCCGAGUGGUGGUCGAUUUUAUUGAGUCUAAAACGUUCGUAGCCGGUCUGAUAGAUCCUUGGGGUAAUCGGGGGGCUUAACCUUCCGAAUUCCGAGGAGACCGUCAGGCUUGGGAUCGGGAGAGGUAAGAGGUACUUCAGGGGUAGGGGUAAAAUCCUGUAAUCCUUGGAGGACCACCGGUGGCGAAGGCGUCUUACUAAAACGAAUCCGACGGUGAGGGACGACGCCCUAGGUCGCACAAGGGAUUAAAUACCCCGGGUAUCUAGGGUGUAAACGCUGCCAACUUGGUGU
This 625-nucleotide ribosomal RNA is filed under the name uncultured archaeon. RNAcentral describes it as "bacterial SSU rRNA". It matches the Rfam family "Archaeal small subunit ribosomal RNA", at positions 147 to 774 of the family's 1478-position model. The record is from RNAcentral.